This 1292-nucleotide long non-coding RNA is filed under the name Androctonus crassicauda. The record is from RNAcentral. Lineage: Eukaryota; Metazoa; Arthropoda; Arachnida; Scorpiones; Buthidae.
CGGGUCGAUCUCUUACAUGGGCAGACUGGACGGUGGAUGUUUUUUCUGUUUAUGUAGUAGAAUUAACGUUUGUUAAAUAAUACGACGUCGUGUUUUUAUCGGCAGAAUUUUUAUAAUCGCUGACGAUUUUGCCUACUUUUUUAGUUUGGCAUCCGUAUCUAAAAUAUACCGGAUAGGCCGCUUAAUCUUAUAAAAACGACGAUUAUUCGGUAAAGCUGGUCAAAUAUUAAUGGGUGAACAGUUACGAAAAAUAAUAUUUUUGCCCUCACUAAACAAAAGCGUCGGCUGUAGGUGUAAAUUAAUUUUCGAUAUAAGUAUGGCUCCAUUGUUUUUCUAUCAUUCGACGCUAGUUCUAACUCGGCCGACCAGGAGUUUUAGUAGUAGCGGUUGCCCAACGGCUAGUAGUAACAGGGGCGCGCUUGUCGAAAAAAAAUGAAGCGUGUUGUCAAAACCGGACUUGGAAAUUUUUUAAAAGCACCGUGGUGGAACGACUAUAUUCUUAUAAUUCGAUUGGCUAUUAGGUGCUGGUGAAGUCGGGUCGACGCCUGCACCUACAUCCUACAUCUAUAAAUAUGUGUACUUUAUCAUCGUCGCUCCUUCGGAUUAACGAGACGGGUGGGCGCAGCCAUCUCCAAACAACUCGACUGGUUGGAUAACAGCGUAAACGAAAUUGGCUCCCAAACGUGACGUCACGGGUUCCGUAGUAGCGCUAUCGAGUUGGACAGAAAAUCUCUCCACCGUUCCACCGUGGGCACGAUUUUACCGGGCCAAAAUGUAGCGAGCGUUAAAACCCGAGAGACCGGGCCGUUAAAAUGGCCGCCCAUGCAAAAAGGAAGGCUGGGCCACGGCGCCAUAUUAAUCGUCUAGGCCGUGGCCCGUCCGUCUGACGGUGGAGGCUGGUCCGCUAACGACAGGCGGCUGGGAUAAGCGUCGAAGAAAACGUAUUUUAUAAGCCAUCGACGUCAGUUCUGACGUUUCGGGGUCGACGACACCGUCGUCCUCCACCGAAAAUAAUGGCGCCGUACUUGGCCGACCGAUCACGCUUAACCGGUCGGCCCAUCUCGACGUAAUUUAUAGGAAAAAACGGCGUUUCGAUCACCACCCCGCCUUCGGUGCAUAAAAAUGUUUUUUAACGGCCUUACCCACCAAACGUUUCUUCCUCCGUUCUACCGGCCAAAACAAAGCGGCAGAAAAUAGUCUUCCCUUUCCGGCCCAGUCCGUUCUUUUUUUGCUCAACGGAUGACGUCACUUUCCAUUCUAGAAUACUAAAUGACGGGGAUGAACCACUCGGA